Molecule: ribosomal RNA, 429 nt
Filed under: Verrucomicrobiota bacterium
Lineage: Bacteria; Pseudomonadati; Verrucomicrobiota
Description: Verrucomicrobia bacterium partial 16S ribosomal RNA
Rfam family: Bacterial small subunit ribosomal RNA
Source: RNAcentral
UAGGGAAUCUUCCGCAAUGGACGAAAGUCUGACGGAGCAACGCCGCGUGAGUGAAGAAGGAUUUCGGUUCGUAAAACUCUGUUGUUAGUGAAGAAAAAAUGUAUAGUAACUAUAUACAAAAGAGACGGUACCUAACCAGAAAGCCACGGCUAACUACGUGCCAGCAGCCGCGGUAAUACGUAGGUGGCAAGCGUUGUCCGGAAUUAUUGGGCGUAAAGCGCGCGCAGGUGGUUUAGAAAGUCUGAUGUGAAAGCCCACGGCUCAACCGUGGAGGGUCAUUGGAAACUAAUAAACUUGAGUGCAGGAGAGAAAAGUGGAAUUCCUAGUGUAGCGGUGAAAUGCGUAGAGAUUAGGAGGAACACCGGUGGCGAAAGCGGCUUUUUGGCCUGCAACUGACACUGAGGCGCGAAAGCGUGGGGAGCAAACAGG